RNAcentral lists this non-coding RNA (107 nucleotides) under Acetivibrio straminisolvens. Its description in RNAcentral is "Clostridium straminisolvens SAM-I sequence". It matches the Rfam family "SAM riboswitch aptamer (S box leader)". Rfam says of the family: The SAM riboswitch is found upstream of a number of genes which code for proteins involved in methionine or cysteine biosynthesis in Gram-positive bacteria. The SAM riboswitch acts at the level of transcription termination control. The predicted structure consists of a complex stem-loop region followed by a single stem loop terminator region. The record is from RNAcentral. RNAcentral also lists the same sequence under 1 other name. Lineage: Bacteria; Bacillati; Bacillota; Clostridia; Acetivibrionales; Acetivibrionaceae.
ACCUUAUCAAGAGAGGUGGAGGGAAUGGGCCCUAUGAAACCCGGCAACCGGCAAAAAUUGUAUCGGUGCCAAUUCCUACAGGAUGUGAAAGUCCUGACAGAUGAGGA